The sequence is a ribosomal RNA, 159 nucleotides long. It matches the Rfam family "5.8S ribosomal RNA". From Rfam's summary of the family: 5.8S ribosomal RNA (5.8S rRNA) is a component of the large subunit of the eukaryotic ribosome. It is transcribed by RNA polymerase I as part of the 45S precursor that also contains 18S and 28S rRNA.
AACUUUCAGCAGUGGAUGUCUAGGCUCGCCACAUCGAUGAAGAACGCUGCGAACUGCGAUACGUAAUGCGAAUUGCAGGAUUCAGUGAGUCAUCGAAAUUUUGAACGCAUAUUGCACUUCCGGGUUAGUCCUGGAAGUAUGCCUGUAUCAGUGUCCGUA